RNAcentral lists this long non-coding RNA (207 nucleotides) under Gossypium raimondii (Peruvian cotton). Its description in RNAcentral is "long non-coding RNA (GRAI_LNC002248)". Lineage: Eukaryota; Viridiplantae; Streptophyta; Magnoliopsida; Malvales; Malvaceae. The record is from RNAcentral.
UAUAAUCAUCCGUGUUGCGACAUAGCGACCAGUAUUCGUUUAGUACGCCUUCUAAUGGUCUCCUACACACUCACAAAAUGCGUUAGCUCACCCUUAGGCUUCAUUCGGCCCUUACGGUCAAUAAAAGACUCAAUUUGCACAUUUUUUUGAAUCUAAAUAAAACUAAGAAAACUUAACUAAAACAUAUAAAAAAAUGCUUGCAUUCAA